UUCAGAAGCUCCAAGGAUGUCAUCGGGACCCAUGCUUUUGAUCUCAGAGCUCUGUUUUCAUGUGUGGUGCCUCAUUUCUUAGACAGUGACGCCGCACCUGCCAGAAAAUUCAGUUUUACAUGUUUUCUCCCAGCCACUGUAAAAGAAAGAAACUGUCCCUUUCUUGCAAGAUCGUGCAAAUGUAUGUCCUAUAAUUGGAACUCAUUGACCAGAAAUGGUUUGGCAUGGGUCUCAUGGCGUCCCUGAAUUUGCAGUGGGUUGGCCAAAUCUGCUUUACCUGAGGAGCUGAUGCUACUGUGACCUACAGCAAAAGAAGUGGGAACAUGUGAAGGAGAGGUAUUUUCCAAGAGAAAGCCUAUGCAAUGUGAAGACGAUGAGGAUAAACAGAACAGAGCCCUCAGAAAUAAUGCUGCAUAUCUACAACUAUCUGAUCUUUGACAAAUCUGAGAAAAACAAGAAAUGGGGGAAGGAUUCCCUAUUUAAUAAAUGGUGCUGGGAAAACUGGCUAGCCACAUGUAGAAAGCUGAAACUGGAUCCCUUCCUUACACCUUAUACAAAAGUUAAUUAAAGAUGGAUUAAAGACUUAAAUGUUAGACCUAAAACCAUAAAAACCCUAGAAGAAAACCUAGGUAAUACAAUUCAGGACAUAGGCAUGGGCAAGGACUUCAUGACUAAAACACCAAAAGCAAUGGCAACAAAAGACAAAAUUGACAAAAGGGAUCUAGUUAAACUAAAGAGCUUCCGCACAGCAAAAGAAAUUACCAUCAGAGUGAACAGACAACCUACAGAAUGGGAGAAAAUUUUUGCCAUCUACUCAUCUGACAAAGGGCUAAUAUCCAGAAUCUACAAUGAACUCAAACAAACUUACAAGAAAACAACAACCCCAUCAAAAAGUGGGCGAAGGAUAUGAACAGACACUUCUCAAAAGAAGACAUUUAUGCAGCCAAAAGACACAUGAAAAAAUGCUCAUCAUCACUGGCCAUCAGAGAAAUGCAAAUCAAAACCACAAUGAGAUACCAUCUCACACCAGUUAGAAUGGCAAUCAUUAAAAAGUCAGGAAACAACAGGUGCUAGAGAUGAUGUGGAGAAAUAGGAAC
RNAcentral lists this long non-coding RNA (1097 nucleotides) under Homo sapiens (human). RNAcentral's name for it is "HSALNT0085320". Lineage: Eukaryota; Metazoa; Chordata; Mammalia; Primates; Hominidae. The record is from RNAcentral.